Molecule: non-coding RNA, 184 nt
Filed under: unclassified sequences
Description: RT-2 RNA
Rfam family: RT-2 RNA (bases 35-160)
About the family: Coriobacteriales (Actinobacteria), Clostridiales (Firmicutes). Downstream gene
Source: Rfam by way of RNAcentral
CUCAUUCCGCUCUGGUGCCAUGAGCGGGAUCAUGCUUGAUAUGGAUGGGUGGACGCUGCUUGCAUGGUGCAAAAAUCGGAAGGGAGGUGAAGGCUGUGCAGAGGUGCAUUUCAUACCCAUACCAUUAUGCGGUUAGGGAUAGCACACAGAACCGUACAAGGGGGAACUGGGCACAAUUACAAUA